GACGAACGCUGGCGGCGUGCUUAACACAUGCAAGUCGAGCGGUAAGGCCCUUUCGGGGGUACACGAGCGGCGAACGGGUGAGUAACACGUGGGUGACCCGCCCUCAGCUCUGGGAUAAGCCUGGGAAACUGGGUCUAAUACUGGAUAUGACUCCACGGUGCAUGUCGUGGGGUGGAAAGCCUUGUGCGGCUGAGGAUGGGCCCGCGGCCUAUCAGCUUGUUGGUGGGGUGAUGGCCUACCAAGGCGACGACGGGUAGCCGGCCUGAGAGGGCGACCGGCCACACUGGGACUGAGACACGGCCCAGACUCCUACGGGAGGCAGCAGUGGGGAAUCUUGCGCAAUGGGCGAAAGCCUGACGCAGCGACGCCGCGUGAGGGAUGACGCU
Molecule: ribosomal RNA, 386 nt
Filed under: uncultured bacterium
Lineage: Bacteria
Description: bacterial SSU rRNA
Rfam family: Bacterial small subunit ribosomal RNA
Source: RNAcentral